UGGGGAAUUUUGGACAAUGGGGGAAACCCUGAUCCAGCCAUCCCGCGUGUGCGAUGAAGGCCUUCGGGUUGUAAAGCACUUUUGGCAGGAAAGAAACGUCAUGGGUUAAUACCCCGUGAAACUGACGGUACCUGCAGACUAAGCACCGGCUAACUACGUGCCAGCAGCCGCGGUAAUACGUACGGUGCAAGCGUUAAUCGGAAUUACUGGGCGUAAAGCGUGCGCAGGCGGUUCGGAAAGAAAGAUGUGAAAUCCCAGAGCUCAACUUUGGAACUGCAUUUUUAACUGCCGGGCUAGAGUGUGUCAGAGGGAGGUGGAAUUCCGUGUGUAGCAGUGAAAUGCGUAGAUAUGCGGAGGAACACCGGUGGCGAAGGCAGCCUCCUGGGAUAACACUGACGCUCAUGCACGAAAGCGUGGGGAGCAAACAGG
This 429-nucleotide ribosomal RNA is filed under the name Acidobacteriota bacterium. Its description in RNAcentral is "Acidobacteria bacterium partial 16S ribosomal RNA". It matches the Rfam family "Bacterial small subunit ribosomal RNA", at positions 355 to 776 of the family's 1533-position model. Lineage: Bacteria; Pseudomonadati; Acidobacteriota. The record is from RNAcentral.